UCCUCCAAGGCUAAAUACUCCUGACUGACCGAUAGUGAACCAGUACCGUGAGGGAAAGGCGAAAAGAACCCCGGCGAGGGGAGUGAAAAAGAACCUGAAACCGUGUACGUACAAGCAGUGGGAGCCUCUUUAUGGGGUGACUGCGUACCUUUUGUAUAAUGGGUCAGCGACUUAUAUUCUGUAGCAAGGUUAACCGAAUAGGGGAGCCGAAGGGAAACCGAGUCUUAACUGGGCGUUAAGUUGCAGGGUAUAGACCCGAAACCCGGUGAUCUAGCCAUGGGCAGGUUGAAGGUUGGGUAACACUAACUGGAGGACCGAACCGACUAAUGUUGAAAAAUUAGCGGAUGACUUGUGGCUGGGGGUGAAAGGCCAAUCAAACCGGGAGAUAGCUGGUUCUCCCCGAAAGCUAUUUAGGUAGCGCCUCGUGAAUUCAUCUCCGGGGGUAGAGCACUGUUUCGGCAAGGGGGUCAUCCCGACUUACCAACCCGAUGCAAACUGCGAAUACCGGAGAAUGUUAUCACGGGAGACACACGGCGGGUGCUAACGUCCGUCGUGAAGAGGGAAACAACCCAGACCGCCAGCUAAGGUCCCAAAGUCAUGGUUAAGUGGGAAACGAUGUGGGAAGGCCCAGACAGCCAGGAUGUUGGCUUAGAAGCAGCCAUCAUUUAAAGAAAGCGUAAUAGCUCACUGGUCGAGUCGGCCUGCGCGGAAGAUGUAACGGGGCUAAACCAUGCACCGAAGCUGCGGCAGCGACACUAUGUGUUGUUGGGUAGGGGAGCGU
Molecule: ribosomal RNA, 781 nt
Filed under: Escherichia coli
Lineage: Bacteria; Pseudomonadati; Pseudomonadota; Gammaproteobacteria; Enterobacterales; Enterobacteriaceae
Description: partial 23S ribosomal RNA
Rfam family: Bacterial large subunit ribosomal RNA
Source: RNAcentral